CGCCCUCCCUGCAAAGCUGCUCUGCCGCCCGCCCUGCAAGACAGGAGAGCAACAGGGCUGGCUGGCUGGCCUGGCGAGCAGACCCGCUGUGUCCAGCGGCACUUGGUCCAGGCACCACUUGCCCAGAAGCAGGGAGGAAGGGACCUGGGUGUCCACCCUGGUGUCCCCUGAGCACUGUGUGGCAUUCCAGGAUGCCUGACACUGCCUGGGUCAGAAGCAGUGGUGUCUGUGCUAAAACCAUCAGGCUGAAGGGGAGCUCAUUAGGUAAGGGGGCCAGGGAGGGGACACCACCCCGGGCUGGCAGGCUCGAAGAGGGGCCAGGAUUGGAGUGUCAGGGACCGAGAGCUAGUGCAGCGCAGUCCAACGCAGCCCGGGAGGGGACGGACAGAGAGAGACGAGGCCCCGGGCGUGCACACAGGACGGACACGAGUGAAGCCGUUGGAAAGAUUUUGAAUUACACCGACUAGGUGCCAGGCCCUGUCCCAGGCACUGGAGAGACAGAAGUGAAGAGGCAGAAGGACCCCUGCAGUCACGGAGCGGCCGGUGUCCCACGGGGAGUGAGAGGCGCGGCAAACAAGUGAUGAGAAACUUGUUCAGCUUGGAUAGGUGACGAGCAGAAGCUUCAAACAGAGAGUGUGGCUGAGCGUGGGCUGAGAGCUGAACAGUGGGAAGGAGUCAACCUCGCAAAGAUGAGUCAAGGAACAGCCCUGCUGGAGCCGGCACCGAGAGCAGCGGGCCCAUCCUGGAAGACCACUGGGAAGUGAGGAAUGCCACAUCCGCCUGCCCGGACGGGGCAGCGCACUGCGCUCUCAGUUAUUACGGUGCCUAAUUCACUUUCAUGGAGGCUGAGAAGAGCGGGAGGACCUCUGGGGCUCAAAUUUGGCCCAGAAUGUUCCCCAGAAAUCAC
This is an RNA transcript of Equus quagga, 907 nucleotides long. RefSeq lists it as uncharacterized. The transcript has 2 exons. Lineage: Eukaryota; Metazoa; Chordata; Mammalia; Perissodactyla; Equidae. The record is from RefSeq and is a predicted model, not a curated record.